RNAcentral lists this transfer RNA (75 nucleotides) under Oxyrrhis marina. It matches the Rfam family "tRNA", at positions 6 to 65 of the family's 71-position model. Rfam says of the family: Transfer RNA (tRNA) molecules are approximately 80 nucleotides in length. Their secondary structure includes four short double-helical elements and three loops (D, anti-codon, and T loops). Further hydrogen bonds mediate the characteristic L-shaped molecular structure. tRNAs have two regions of fundamental functional importance: the anti-codon, which is responsible for specific mRNA codon recognition, and the 3' end, to which the tRNAs corresponding amino acid is attached (by aminoacyl-tRNA synthetases). tRNAs cope with the degeneracy of the genetic code in two manners: having more than one tRNA (with a specific anti-codon) for a particular amino acid; and 'wobble' base-pairing, i.e. permitting non-standard base-pairing at the 3rd anti-codon position. The record is from RNAcentral. Lineage: Eukaryota; Dinophyceae; Oxyrrhinales; Oxyrrhinaceae.
AACGUGGCCGAGUGGUUAAGGCGAUGGACUCGAAAUCCAUUGGGCACUGCCCGCGCAGGUUCGAAUCCUGCCGCU